Molecule: non-coding RNA, 482 nt
Organism: Astyanax mexicanus (Mexican tetra)
Lineage: Eukaryota; Metazoa; Chordata; Actinopteri; Characiformes; Acestrorhamphidae
Source: the annotation of a RefSeq genome assembly
UGAAAUCAUGACAUCAUGAUGCAAAUCCAGUGUGGUGUGUGUUCAUCUAGUACUUAUGAGCUGCUGAUCUGAGGGGAGCAGUAGAGUCUCAUCUUAACUCUCACCAUGAAGAUCACACUCUCCUUAUUACUGCUACUGCUCACCUUCAGCAGUGUGAAAUGUGAGAGUAUGGAAUCAUUAGAAACUGCAGUUCAGAUAAAACCUGGAGAAACUCUGAGUCUCUCCUGUAGAGGAUCUGGAUUUAGCUUUAGCAGCUUCUACCUGCACUGGAUCAGACAACAGACUGGAAAACCACUGGAGUGGAUGGGAAGUGAUGACAACGACUACGCAGCAUCUUUUCAAGGCCGGAUUCAGAUCACCAGCGAUAAUUCCAAAAGCAUGGUGUAUCUGAAACUGUCUGGUGUGACAGCAGAGGAUUCAGCUGUGUAUUACUGCGCUCGACAAGCACAGUGAUACAGAAUAGUGGAGACACCGUACAAAAA